CCAUCGCCAUCGAGCAUCGCGACGGGGGGACCCCAAGUGCCACUCUUAACGGGGUGGCUUUUCUUAAGUGUAAAAAGCUUUUGGAAUAAGGGCUGGGCAAGACCGGUGCCAGCCGCCGCGGUAACACCGGCAGCUCUAGUGGUAGCCAUUUUUAUUGGGCCUAAAGCGUUCGUAGCCGGUUUGAUAAGUCUCUGGUGAAAUCCUAUAGCUUAACUGUGGGACUUGCUGGAGAUACUAUUAGACUUGAGGUCGGGAGAGGUUAGCGGUACUCCCAGGGUAGGGGUGAAAUCCUGUAAUCC
RNAcentral lists this ribosomal RNA (299 nucleotides) under uncultured archaeon. Its description in RNAcentral is "partial 16S ribosomal RNA". It matches the Rfam family "Archaeal small subunit ribosomal RNA", at positions 343 to 648 of the family's 1478-position model. The record is from RNAcentral.